RNAcentral lists this ribosomal RNA (463 nucleotides) under uncultured bacterium. RNAcentral's name for it is "partial 16S ribosomal RNA". It matches the Rfam family "Bacterial small subunit ribosomal RNA", at positions 339 to 795 of the family's 1533-position model. The record is from RNAcentral.
CUACGGGUUGCACCAGUGGGGAAUAUUGCACAAUGGGCGCAAGCCUGAUGCAGCCAUGCCGCGUGUAUGAAGAAGGCCUUCGGGUUGUAAAGUACUUUCAGCGGGGAGGAAGGGAGUAAAGUUAAUACCUUUGCUCAUUGACGUUACCCGCAGAAGAAGCACCGGCUAACUCCGUGCCAGCAGCCGCGGUAAUACGGAGGGUGCAAGCGUUAAUCGGAAUGACUGGGCGUAAAGCGCAGGCAGGCGGUUUGGUAAGUCAGAUGUGAAAUCCCCGGGCUCAACCUGGGAACUGCAUCUGAACUGGCAAGCUUGAGUCUCGUAGAGGGGUGUAGAAUUCCAGGUGUAGCGGUGAAAUGCGUAGAGAUCUGGAGGAAUACCGGUGGCGAAGGCGGCCCCCUGGACGAAGACUGACGCUCAGGUGCGAAAGCGUGGGGAGCAAACAGGAUUAGAUACCCCUGUAGUC